Stygiomarasmius scandens is the source of this 77-nucleotide non-coding RNA. The record is from the annotation of a GenBank genome assembly. NCBI's taxonomy places the organism in Eukaryota, Fungi, Basidiomycota, Agaricomycetes, Agaricales, Campanellaceae.
GCAUCAAUGGGGUAGUGGUAACCUGGGUCGUUGCCAUUUAUCUCGACCCGCCGGGGGUUCGAUUCCCCCUUGAUGCA